CUCGACAAGCAGUGAAAACACCCCCUCGGAGGUUACCCACUGUGAUGGUCCGCUCUCCUAUAGAUUCAGCCUCCCCAGGAGGUGAUUAUCCACUUGGGGACUUGACUUCAACCACUAUGGAAGAGGCCACCUCUGGGGUGAGUGUUAUUUCCAUCCAUUGGAAUUGAUCAGUGAAGGGUGCAAUAAGCCAGCAGAGAGCUGAGUGAUGAGGAAACCACUUUUGACCUAGGAGCAACUUCUUGGUCUGAACACUAAAGACUAUAAUUUACCAUGUUCUGUGCUCGAAGAUAAGGACGGACCUAAAAGCACUGAGGCUUUUGACCUUUUUGAGAGAUAGGGAAAAGACUGCAUUCAGGAAUUCUUUGCUGUGUAUCUUAGUCCUAUGAAAUUCCUGCUGAAAUAAGAGACAAUUCCUUGUAAAUAUAAUACUGGUAGGGGGUGAGGAGUUUGUAAAUGGCAGAUUGGAUGGAAUGGUUGGGUCAUCAUGGGUUUGAGUCAGUAGAAGAGAAAAUAACAUGGGGAAGAAAAGUAUAGCUAAGAUUAGGGGGUAGAGGGUUCUGGGCAUUUCCACUCAGAACUAAUAAAACCAUACUAACCCAUCCAGAUUAGUAGGGAGCCUUCCAUAGUUUGAGAAGUCAGAUAAAGGUUCUCUGUUGUCUCUUAGGUAACCCCUGGGACUUUGCCGAGUACCCCAGUCACCUCGUUUCCUGGGAUUCCUGACACCCUUCCUCCAGGCUCUGCACCCUUAGAAGCCCCCAUGACCCCAGUAACAGAUGAUUCACCCCAGAAAAAGAUGCUUGGACAGAAAGCAACUCCACCCCCCUCCCCUCUGCUGUCAGAGCUCUUGAAGAAGGGCAGCCUCCUGCCUACUAGCCCCAGACUGGUAUGGAGACUUCUGUGGGUGUUUGAGAGCUGUGGUGAUUUUAGUACUUGGAAGGGAAUGCCUGGGACCUAAAAUGUGACAUGGACAAAAAAGUUCAAAGGAGGAAGAGAUGUCUUAGUUAAAUGUUAAUUUAAAACAAUAAGUUGAUAGUAUCCUUGGGUCCUGAGAUAUCUGAGCCACAAUUAUUUUGGUUUUCUUCCCAAAGAACUCUUGACAAAUAAGUUCUGAACAUUAGAGUUUCCCUUGGGUUUGAAUUACUCUCUGUGGAUAGUAAGUUUUAGUUUUCAAGAAGUUUGGUUGACAGAGUUUUGGGGGGAAGUGGUAGUAAAGGAAAGCUUGAGUGUAGCCUUCACCUCUAUUCUUCCCUGGUAGGUCAGUGAGAGUGAAAUGGCUGUUACUUCUGGCCAUCUGAACAGUACAGGUGUCCUCCUGGAGGUAGGCGGGGUCCUUCCCAUGAUACAUGGUGGGGAGAUACAGCAAACACCCAAUACUGUUGCAGCUUCCCCUGCUGCCUCAGGUAAGUCAUCACUCUUCCUUUGUCUACUUCAGAGAUGGUUUCAUUAUUAUUAAGGAAUUGUUAAUCCAUAACUACUUUUUUUUCUAACUUUGUUUUGGAGCUGCUUUAGCUGUUAAAACACAUAGUGCUUGAAGGGCUGGGGUUUUAGCUCAGUGGUAGAGUGCUUGCCUAGCAUGUGUGAGGCACUGGGUUUGAUUCUCAGCACUGCAUAUAAACAAACAAACAAAAAAAUAAAGGUCCAUUGACAACUUAAAAAAACAAACAGUGGCUUGAAAUUAUUAAUCCAUUCCAUCUUCAAAUUGUUGACAUCCCUGAAACUACAGCAUAGCUAUUGAUGAGAGGAACUUGAAGUUAAUAGUGAAGCUGCUUCUCUGUGGCUUGUAAAAUUGUGUAAAGGUGCUGGAGAUACCUAAGAUAAUAGAAUAUGGGAAAGAGAUUUGGCUUGAAUCUCAGGCCUGCUACGCAUUGGGUUUGUAAUCUGAUAGGUGACUUAACUACUGAGGCUCAAUUUUCUGUUUUAUUAAUUGUGAUAUAUAUGCUAUUCAUUGAUAUAGUGAGAAUUAAAUGAGAUAAACAAAAUAAAGCAAAAAAAUGCUUUACAAAAUACCUUAUAAACAUUAGAUAUUGGUAUUUGAAUCAUGUUGAAGUUGGGUAGUGUAUAGCAUGUUGAAUCUCAACAGAAAUGAUAUUUAUUCAGACCAGUUUUUUUAUUCUUGGUGAUUAUUUAAUUUUCCUCUGAGGAAAGGUACCACCCAUUUUUCUUAUGUUGUGUAUUCUAGUACUUUGGUUUAUUCCUAAUUUAGAAUUUUGGUUCAUUCCUAACUUGGAAAAAGUAAGGUUAGAGAAAAUAAAACUAUAGAUCAACAUAGGAGUUGCUUUCAUUCUUUGAGACCAUAAAUUUUUUCUUGGUUGAAUCUUAGAGUGGCUAUUGCUUCUUGUUGGUGUGCUUUCUUCUUACCUCAUUUUGUAUACCUCUUUGUUAGGUGCUCCCACUCUUUCCCGGCUUUUAGAAGCUGGUCCUACACAGUUCACCACACCUCUUGCUUCCUUCACUACUGUUGCCAGUGAACCUCCAGUUAAACUUGUGCCACCCCCUGUAGAGUCUGUGUCCCAGGCUACCAUUGUCAUGAUGCCUGCGCUGCCAGCACCAUCCUCUGCUCCGGCUGUCUCCACUCCUGAAAGUGUAGCUCCAGGUGCGUCUUGACCCACGCCCUGAGCAGCCACUAGGACCAAAAUUUCAUUUUGAGC
Molecule: long non-coding RNA, 2648 nt
Filed under: Marmota monax (woodchuck)
Lineage: Eukaryota; Metazoa; Chordata; Mammalia; Rodentia; Sciuridae
Source: RNAcentral